This 502-nucleotide transfer RNA is filed under the name Goleter apudmare HA4340-LM2. Its description in RNAcentral is "16S-23S ribosomal RNA intergenic spacer". The stretch from base 276 to 348 matches the Rfam family "tRNA". The record is from RNAcentral. Lineage: Bacteria; Bacillati; Cyanobacteriota; Cyanophyceae; Nostocales; Nodulariaceae.
UUUAGGGAGACCUACACCCCUCAAAUCUUGAAAGCAAAAUGUAAAUAGAGAUUGAGUUGGUCUAUCCUAGGUCGGUCGCAGAUAAUUGUUGAAGCUUUCAAACUAUGAUUUGGUUCGAUAUGGGCUAUUAGCUCAGGUGGUUAGAGCGCACCCCUGAUAAGGGUGAGGUCCCUGGUUCGAGUCCAGGAUGGCCCACCUGAAAGUAGUUAGUAAUUGCUAAUUUAUAAUUCGUAAAUAACUACGAAUUAAGGAUUAAGAAUUACGAAUUAUAAUCUGGGGGUUUAGCUCAGUUGGUAGAGCGCCUGCUUUGCAAGCAGGAUGUCAGCGGUUCGAGUCCGCUAACCUCCACAUUGGAAAAAAGCCAGCAAAGUGGUGAAAACCAGACUGCUGGGAGAAUAAUCCAGCCAGAACCUUGAAAACUGCAUAGUAACGCGAAAAAUAGCAGGCAGACACAGACAUCGAAAAGAUGAAAGUGAAAGCAGGUGAAAACCAAUGAAAUUGU